CAUCAUACCGUGAAACUGCGAAUGGCUCAUUAAAUCAGUUAUCGUUUAUUUGAUAGUACCUUACUACUUGGAUAACCGUGGUAAUUCUAGAGCUAAUACAUGCUUAAAACCCCAACUUCGGAAGGGGUGUGUUUAUUAGAUAAAAAACCAACGCCCUUCGGGGCUUCUUGGUGAUUCAUGAUAACUUUACGGAUCGCAUGGCCUUGCGCCGGCGACGGUUCAUUCAAAUUUCUGCCCUAUCAACUUUCGAUGGUAAGGUAUUGGCUUACCAUGGUUUCAACGGGUAACGGGGAAU
This 295-nucleotide ribosomal RNA is filed under the name uncultured fungus. Its description in RNAcentral is "partial 18S ribosomal RNA". It matches the Rfam family "Eukaryotic small subunit ribosomal RNA", at positions 72 to 370 of the family's 1831-position model. Lineage: Eukaryota; Fungi. The record is from RNAcentral.